RNAcentral lists this ribosomal RNA (437 nucleotides) under uncultured bacterium. RNAcentral's name for it is "partial 16S ribosomal RNA". It matches the Rfam family "Bacterial small subunit ribosomal RNA", at positions 30 to 507 of the family's 1533-position model. The record is from RNAcentral.
AGCGAACGCUGGCGGCAUGCUUAACACAUGCAAGUCGCGCGGGUGGUUUCGGCCAUCAGCGGCGGACGGGUGAGUAUGGCGUAGGAAUGUAUACCGAGGUGGGGGACAAGCCUGGGAAAUUGGGGGUAAUACCGCAUGGGGCCUGUGGGUCAAAGCCUUAGGGCGCCUUGGGAGCAGCCUGCGUCCGAUUAGGUAGUGUGUGGGGUAAAGGGCUACCAAGCCUGCGAUCGGUAGCUGGUCUGAGAGGACGAUCAGCCACACUGGGACUUAGACACGGCCCAGACUCCUACGGGAGGCAGCAGUGGGGAAUAUUGGACAAUGGGCGCAAGCCUGAUCCAGCAAUGCCGCGUGGGUGAAGAAGGUCUUCGGACUGUAAAGCCCUUUCGGCGGGGACGAUGAUGACGGUACCCGCAGAAUAAGCCCCGGCUAACUUCGUG